AUGGCAGGGACGUGGUCGGGGCAGGGGCCGUGGGCCUGGCUGCUGGCUGGGUCCAGCGCAGAGACGGCGGGGAUGUGGUCAGGGCAGGGGCUGGGGGCCCGGUGCUCACUGGGCCCAGCGUGGAGACGGCAGGGACGGGGUCGGGGCAGGGGCCGGGGGCCUGGUGCUCACUGGGCCCAGCGUGGAGACAGCAGGGACGCGGUCAGGGCAGGGGCCGGGGCCUGGUGCUCGCUGGGCCCAGCGUGGAGGCGGUGGGGACACGGUCAGGGCAGGGGCCGGGGGCCCGGUGCUCACUGGGGACGUGGUCAGAGCAGGGGCCAAGGGCCUGGCUGCUGGCUGGGCCCAGCAUGGAGACAGCAGGGACGGGGUGGGGACAGGGGCCGUCGGCCUGGUGCUCGCUGGCCUUUGUGUCUUGUUUCACGCAGGGGUUUUCAGGCAAGCAGAUGCCAAGACGGCGGUGCUCAGAACCAGACGUGCUGCGAGGGAGGGCGGGACUUAGGGUGCCGUGGCACCACAGGUCUCAGCCGUCCCCGGCGCCGUGUGGCUCCCGGGCACACGAGGCUGCGUUUCCUUAGGUGCCAGGCGCCGAGGCUCCUCCUGCAGAGGACAUGCCGCUGCCCAUGGGGGGCGGCAGACACGGACACGCGGGCCGCCGUGGGCCUGCACGGGCGAGCAGAAUUUGCUGGAGGGAUGUGUUGCAUGCCACAAGCGCCCCGUGAUGGAGGAAAAGGACGGAAACAGGCGGAGGUCCCUCCUGGACGCUCUGCUGACCCCAGGGCGCUCGCGGCCCACGGGGCAGGAGUCUCCCCGUUGAGGCGGCUUCCACAACAUUCUCAGGUCACGCAGAACCCACACGUGUGUAGAUCACGGGUGACAGCGGGCUGCACGGACCCCGCCGCCCUCAGGCCUCAUGGCACAGCCCCCUCGGGGGUAGAUGUCGUCAAGUCCACCGGCCCGGGGUGCUGGUGGCCUGCUGCCUCGCGGCUGCCCGUGGAAGGCAGCACGGGGACCACUCCCGGGCGCUCUCAGAGGACACCAGGCCCUUGGUCUCCACCUCUCAUGCAAGCCACGUCCCGCUCCUGA
Molecule: long non-coding RNA, 1083 nt
Filed under: Oryctolagus cuniculus (rabbit)
Lineage: Eukaryota; Metazoa; Chordata; Mammalia; Lagomorpha; Leporidae
Description: lncRNA (ENSOCUG00000039427.1)
Source: RNAcentral